CACACGACCGUACCGCAAACCGACACUGGUGCGCGAGAUGAGUAUUCUAAGGCGCUUGAGAGAACUCAGGAGAAGGAACUCGGCAAAUUGACACCGUAACUUCGGAAGAAGGUGUGCCUUUAGUAGGUGAACCAUUUACUUGGGGAGCCCAAUGAGGCUGCAAAAAAUCGGUGGCUGCAACUGUUUAUUAAAAACACAGCACUCUGCUAAGACGAAAGUCGACGUAUAGGGUGUGACGCCUGCCCGGUGCUGGAAGAUUAAAUGAUGGGGUGCAAGCUCUUGAUUGAAGUCCCAGUAAACGGCGGCCGUAACAAUAACGGUCCUAAGGUAGCGAAAUUCCUUGUCGGGUAAGUUCCGACCUGCACGAAUGGCGUAAUGAUGGCCACACUGUCUCCUCCUGAGACUCAGCGAAGUUGAAAUGUUUGUGAUGAUGCAAUCUCCCCGCGGAAAGACGGAAAGACCCCAUGAACCUUUACUGUAGCUUUGUAUUGGACUUUGAACAGAUCUGUGUAGGAUAGGUGGGAGGCUUUGAAGUGUGGUCGCUAGAUCGCAUGGAGCCAACGUUGAAAUACCACCCUGGUGUGUUUGAGGUUCUAACCUAGGUCCAUUAUCUGGAUCGGGGACAGUGCAUGGUAGGCAGUUUGACUGGGGCGGUCUCCUCCCAAAGUGUAACGGAGGAGUUCGAAGGUACGCUAGGUACGGUCGGACAUCGUGCUAAUAGUGCAAUGGCAUAAGCGUGCUUAACUGCGAGACUGACAAGUCGAGCAGAUGCGAAAGCAGGACAUAGUGAUCCGGUGGUUCUGUAUGGAAGGGCCAUCGCUCAACGGAUAAAAGGUACUCUGGGGAUAACAGGCUGAUACCGCCCAAGAGUUCAUAUCGACGGCGGUGUUUGGCACCUCGAUGUCGGCUCAUCUCAUCCUGGGGCUGUAGCCGGUCCCAAGGGUAUGGCUGUUCGCCAUUUAAAGAGGUACGUGAGCUGGGUUUAAAACGUCGUGAGACAGUUUGGUCCCUAUCUUCCGUGGGCGCUGCAGAUUUGAGGAAGCCUGCUCCUAGUACGAGAGGACCGGAGUGGACGAACCUCUGGUGUAUCGGUUGUCACGCCAGUGGCAUUGCCGAGUAGCUAAGUUCGGAAGAGAUAACCGCUGAAAGCAUCUAAGCGGGAAACUCGUUUCAAGAUUAGAUCUGCCGGGGCCUUGAGCCCCCUAAAGAGUCGUUCAAGACCAGGACGUUGAUAGGUCAGGUGUGGAAGC
Molecule: ribosomal RNA, 1250 nt
Filed under: metagenome
Description: bacterial LSU rRNA
Rfam family: Bacterial large subunit ribosomal RNA
Source: RNAcentral